This 431-nucleotide ribosomal RNA is filed under the name uncultured Paracoccaceae bacterium. RNAcentral's name for it is "bacterial SSU rRNA". It matches the Rfam family "Bacterial small subunit ribosomal RNA", at positions 29 to 505 of the family's 1533-position model. The record is from RNAcentral. Lineage: Bacteria; Pseudomonadati; Pseudomonadota; Alphaproteobacteria; Rhodobacterales; Paracoccaceae.
AACGAACGCUGGCGGCAGGCCUAACACAUGCAAGUCGAGCGGUCUCUUCGGAGGCAGCGGCGGACGGGUGAGUAACGCGUGGGAAUAUGCCCUGUGGUACGGAACAACAGUUGGAAACGACUGCUAAUACCGUAUGAGCCCUUCGGGGGAAAGAUUUAUCGCCAUAGGAUUAGCCCGCGUUGGAUUAGGUAGUUGGUGGGGUAACGGCCUACCAAGCCGACGAUCCAUAGCUGGUUUGAGAGGAUGACCAGUCACACUGGGACUGAGACACGGCCCAGACUCCUACGGGAGGCAGCAGUGGGGAAUCAUAGACAAUGGGGGCAACCCUGAUCUUGCCAUGCCGCGUGGACGAUGAAGGCCUUAGGGUUGUAAAGUCCUUUCACCCGCGAAGAUAAUGACGGUAGCGGGAGAAGAAGCCCCGGCUAACUCCG